GCAUGGGGAGAGCUGCUGAGGAAGCAGAUCCAGCCUCCAAGGAGCACGCUGCAGCUUUUCCUGUCACUGCAGCAGCAGCAGCAGCAGCAGCAGGCAAUGCAUUCCUCGGAGGCUGGAUCUGCUGCCUCUGUAGAUCCUGCCACCCUUGC
Molecule: non-coding RNA, 149 nt
Organism: Podarcis lilfordi (Lilford's wall lizard)
Lineage: Eukaryota; Metazoa; Chordata; Lepidosauria; Squamata; Lacertidae
Source: the annotation of a GenBank genome assembly